GUGUGUUAAUUUGAUGAUAAUAUCCAUUACUGGUAGCAAUAUUAAACACGUACAAGUCUGGCUGCAACUAGAUUGGGAUUGAGGCUUUGUUGAGUUGAGUUGAGUAUUACGUUUUAUGAUCUAAUCUUACACUGAAAUUUCAUAGAACCUUACAAUUCUACUUCUAGAUGUAUCAUUUCAUGUGUUCAGAUGAUUCCUAUGCUAUUGAAUAUCUAGUGCAUCUUCUUUGCU
RNAcentral lists this unclassified non-coding RNA (231 nucleotides) under Hevea brasiliensis (rubber tree). Lineage: Eukaryota; Viridiplantae; Streptophyta; Magnoliopsida; Malpighiales; Euphorbiaceae. The record is from RNAcentral.